RNAcentral lists this non-coding RNA (95 nucleotides) under Pteridomonas danica. Lineage: Eukaryota; Dictyochophyceae; Pedinellales. The record is from RNAcentral.
AAAAGAAACAGAAAAGCUUCAUCUUAAAAAUGAAAAAAAAAACAAUAGAGGAAAGAAUUUUUUCUCUCACUCUUUUUUUUUUUUUUUUUUUUUCC